CACACACAAACACAUGCACACACACAGACACACACAUAUUGUAGAGACACAUUUGUUUAUGCACGUGCACACACACUCGUGCACACACUCACACACAUAAAUGAGAUCAGUUUCUCCUCUCCAUGAGUCACCAGUUUUCAGAGAAUCUUCUUUCUGUUUGUUUUUUUUCUCCUUUUUUACUCGCUGGCUCUGAUCCAAUCAGAGUGCAGGAACAGGCGACACAGUUAUGAGUUUCACCUUCAUUCAUUCAUUCAUUCAUGCCCAGUUCACUUAUUCAUCUGGCCCUCAGCUCGGAGUUCCUGUGGUUCUGUCCUCAGGUUCAGAUUGUAGUUCUGGUUCUUGGUUCGUGUUUGUCUCCGGCUCAGAGACGGUCUGGAUGAGAACAGUGAGAUGAUGAGUGUUGAAGGAUGAGCAGCAGCAGCAGCAGCAGCUCUCCUCUCCGCUCCUCGUCUAAAUGAGCAGUAAUUGUGUUUGUGUAGAAUCGAAGUGAGCGUGUUGAGUGUCCCACAGUCUCAGCCAAAAUAAACGGAUCGUCUCUCUCCGCUCUCACUGAUGUUUGUUGAUGUUUGGAUGAUGUGGGAGAGAAAAGACGGCUCAGCAGAAAAUGACAAACAGGAAUCAGGAGUUUCUGUUAUUUUCUGCUGCAGCUCUGAAGUCCUCGAUGACUCUGAGGUUUUUCAUUUUUAUCAUUUUGUUCAGAUGAUCUUCAGCCGUUCUCUGGUUUCAGUUCUUAGUUCAGCAAACAUCUGCUCUCCCUCUCCUCCUGCUCCUCCUCCUCCUCCUCCUCCUCCUCUCUUUAUGUUACAGCAUGUUUGCUCUUCAUGCUGUUGUUUCAGCUCUUUGUAUUUCCGCUCUAGUGUUUGUUUGGACAGUUACCUGUGACUCUGACAGUCCUCAGAUCGAGUCCUCGUUAAAAUCUGGACUGAAGUCACCUGAGCUCUCCUCACCCCUGCAGACCCGGACCCUCUGAGUCUGAUUUUAGCUCUCUUAUAAUCCCCAGACGCCCUCAGCAGGAUGGAGGUUCAGAGAGUUCAGACUCUUCAGCCGGUUCAUGACCACAUACAGCAAACAUCAGCUCUGCUUAUUGAGCUGACUCUGACCUCUGACCUCCCUGUGGGGGCGCAGCAAUAAAGCAAACCUUCCCACAGGGAUCGAACCGAUGUCAGCUGGAGACACGGGAGAGGUCUGCUCAGUUCACCAAAACAAAACUGUUUAUUAUUAUUAUUAUUAUUAUUAUUAUUAUUAUUAUUAUUAUUAUUAUUAUUAUUAUUAUUAUCAUAUUUAUAUAUUAAUUACUUUAUUUAAUCAUUUAGUAUUAUAAUAAUAAUUAUAUUUAUUAUAUUUAUUAUAAUAUAUAUCAUAAAUAUGAUUAUAUUUAUCAUUUAUUUAUUUACUACAACAUAUUAUUUUUUUAAAUUAGUUAUCAUUGGUUAUUAUUAUAUAUUUUAUUAUUAUUAUAAUUAACUUAUUAAUUAAUUAAUUAAUAAAUAAAUACAUUAAUUUAAUUAUUAUUAAUAUUAUGACUAUUAUAUUAUUAAAUAUCACAGUCUGAUGUUCACAGUUGAACCUUCUGACUGAAGUUGAUCUAAAUAUCUGAAGAUGUGAGGGUGAGGAUCUGGUUCAGGAUCUAUGUCACACGUCUAUAAAACCACGUCCCGUCCAGUCUGAGUGGGUCUCUGUUCGGAGUUCUGGUGUGAGGAGAGAAAUAAAUCCUGCAGAACAUCUCCGCUCCAACAUCCAACACUGAUCCUGUUACACGCAGCCGUCUGAUUGGAUAGGCCAAACGAGCGCUGCUGAUUGGUUCAGGAAGAACUUAGACUGAUAUAAUUCAGAGUUAAACUCUCUGCUGUCAAAGAAACGUUCGCCCGUCUGAUCGGGGAGCGCUUUGGCUCAGACCCCCGAGACUCUAACUGAUGAGGCCCUCCAUGAACCCGAGCGUGAAGACGGUUAGAAGAGUCAGAGUAAUCCACGCUGACAGUCUGGGAUGACGCGGCGUUGGGUGCUGUUUCUUUUCCAAGAGGAGGUCUGGUGCUCGGAGCGUCGGGCUGCCUCGGCUCGCCGCUGAUGUCGGGCUCCCCCGGGUGUUGUGGUGAGUCAGGUUUCCUGUCGCAACGCAUUCGCCACAACACAGACACGCUCUGGGGAGUCCAUGACUGAUCCUUCUGGCCUGCAGAGGUGUGUGUGUGUGUGUAUCUGUGUGUGUUUUUUUGUAUGUGUGUGUGUAUCUGUGUGUGUGUGUGUGUGUGUGUGUGUGUUCGUGUGUGUGUGUGUGUGUGUGUGUGUGUGUGUGUGUGUGUGUGUGUGUGUGUGUGUGUGUGUGUGUGUGUGUUCUGUGUGUAUGUGAGUGUGUUCAUGUGUUAGUGUGUGUUAGUUUGUGUCGGAGAGGCCUGUUCUCAUGUCGGGCAGAUCUCCGAGUCCAGGACAGCCGUCAGGAUCUCCCUGUCGGUCAGAUACUUUGACCCAUUGGGUCGAUGGCCAAGGCCUGUAAUGAGAACUCAGGGAUGACUCUGAGCUGUUCAGGUCCAGGUCCAAGUUCUGUUUCUGAUACUCAGACCCUCUGAAAAACCGGACCAGGUCUUUAUAUGAACAGGAGGGUCUCAUCAGGAGAUCAUUUCCUUGAAUUAAUAAUCAUCAUAUUAAUCAUUUUACAGAUGCGGUAGUUCUUCUGUCUUAGCGUCUCGGUCUGAUUGUAUUUCCAUGAAGAAAUGAUCAUAAAUGUUCUUCCUUGAGCUGCGGCACCCCGCUGUAGUCCAUAAUGGACAAAGAUCUGUCUAAUCAGAGUCUGAGGGUCUCUUUGGUGCCCACCCCCGACCCU
Xyrichtys novacula (pearly razorfish) is the source of this 2815-nucleotide non-coding RNA. The record is from the annotation of a GenBank genome assembly. NCBI's taxonomy places the organism in Eukaryota, Metazoa, Chordata, Actinopteri, Labriformes, Labridae.